This 1140-nucleotide long non-coding RNA is filed under the name Chloebia gouldiae (Gouldian finch). Its description in RNAcentral is "Erythrura gouldiae (Gouldian finch) lncRNA (ENSEGOG00005006950.1)". Lineage: Eukaryota; Metazoa; Chordata; Aves; Passeriformes; Passeridae. The record is from RNAcentral.
AUGGUCAGCCGGGGCCAAGGGAUAUUUUUAGAGGACAAAAGGAAUUUGCUGGGAACACACAAUUCUUUCUGGAGCCUGUGGAAAAGGCACUGGAUGCUCCUGGCAGUGUGGAUGCUCAAGGUGCCAGGGGAGGGGGCAGUGGGGGCACUCCAGGGGGGCACAGCCCCAAAUUCCACCCCAGGGUUUGCAGGAGGGACGGAUGGCAAAGGCAGGCAGGACCCAAAAUGGGACAUGGCUGCAUGCAGGGCCACAGGGCAGGGCUGUGUGCUGGGAGAAACCACUCUGGAGGCUGCACUGAUGCUGCUUCCCCGUGGAAAACAGCCUCUUCAUCAUCAUCAUCAUCAUCAUCAUCAUCUUCAUCAUCAUCAUCUUCAUGGAAUCCCAGAAUGGUUUGGGUUGGAAGGGACCUUAAAGCCCAUCCUGCCAUGGGCAGGGGCACCUUCCACCAUCCCAGAUUGUUCCAACCUGGCCUUGGACACUUCCAGGGAUCCAGGGGCAGCCACAGCUUCUCUGGGCACCCUGUGCCAGGGUCUUCCCAUCCUCACAUCAGGAAUUCCUUCCCAAUCUCCCAUCCAUCCCUGCCCUGUGGCAGUGGGAAGCCAUUCCCCCUUGCCUUGGCACUCCACAGCCUCUCCCAGUGAGAGGAUAAAUCCAGGAAGGAUCAAGAGAUGCUCCAGGAACUGGAAAUGGGCACCUGGAAAGGUUGUGGGUGUUGGUACCUUCCACAGCUGUCCUUGGCUAGAGGAAGGAGGUGCCAGGAUCAGCAAACCUGGUCCAAAAUCACAUGGAAAAGAAACGGCCAAUUAUGUUGUGAGUUUAAUUAGCACCACUGGGAGAUGGGAGGGUGGUCCUGUGGAGGACAAAGGCAGCACAAACAUUCCACCAGACACUGCAGAAUCCACGUGUACCACCCAAAACCAUCAACUCAGGAUCCUGAACCAAUGCUGUGGAGCUUCCCCUGGGAGCUGCUCCCAAAUCCCCAUCCCAUUAUCCCUAAGGAGCAGAGGAGGGAUGAAAGGGAAGCAGAGGAUGGGCUCACUCAUCACACAGAGUGCUGCCCAUCCCCUGCCCCAGGUGGGGAGCAGGAUUGGGGUUCUGGGGGACUGGGACAGGCUCUGCCCCCCUCCAGCUCCACCAUGA